ACCCCAUCGAGCUUGGUUACUUAUAUUAUUUUUUAUAUGUGAGGAUGUUUUGUCGGGGCUGAUAGGGAGGGAAAGAAUGCCUCCUUUGUUAAUAUGAAGAUCCGGUAUUAGGCCGAUUGGAAGAAGAUAGUUACCGUGGGGAUAACAGCGCAAUGUUCCCAUUAAGCACAUAUUUGAGGGGGCGGUUGCGACCUCGAUGUUGAAUCAGGAUUAUCUAUUAGGUGCAGCAGCUUAGUAAGUGGGACUGUUCGUCCUUUGAAAUCCUACGUGAUCUGAGUUCAGACCGG
RNAcentral lists this ribosomal RNA (287 nucleotides) under Macoma balthica. RNAcentral's name for it is "Limecola balthica partial 16S ribosomal RNA". It matches the Rfam family "Bacterial large subunit ribosomal RNA", at positions 2088 to 2619 of the family's 2925-position model. Lineage: Eukaryota; Metazoa; Mollusca; Bivalvia; Cardiida; Tellinidae. The record is from RNAcentral.